Molecule: ribosomal RNA, 245 nt
Filed under: uncultured bacterium
Lineage: Bacteria
Description: partial 16S ribosomal RNA
Rfam family: Bacterial small subunit ribosomal RNA
Source: RNAcentral
UGCUCGAGUGGCGAACGGGUGAGUAACACGUGAGUAACCUGCCCUCGACUUUGGGAUAACUUCAGGAAACUGGGGCUAAUACCGGAUAGGAGCUCCUGCUGCAUGGUGGGGGUUGGAAAGUUUCGGCGGUUGGGGAUGGACUCGCGGCUUAUCAGCUUGUUGGUGGGGUAGUGGCUUACCAAGGCUUUGACGGGUAGCCGGCCUGAGAGGGUGACCGGCCACAUUGGGACUGAGAUACGGCCCAG